RNAcentral lists this ribosomal RNA (514 nucleotides) under uncultured bacterium. Its description in RNAcentral is "partial 16S ribosomal RNA". It matches the Rfam family "Bacterial small subunit ribosomal RNA", at positions 28 to 523 of the family's 1533-position model. The record is from RNAcentral.
GACGAACGCUGGCGGCGUGCCUAAUACAUGCAAGUCGAACGAGAGCGACCGGUGCUUGCACUGGUCAAUCUAGUGGCGAACGGGUGAGUAACACGUGGGUAACCUGCCCAUCAGAGGGGGAUAACAUCCGGAAACGGAUGCUAAAACCGCAUAGGUCUUCGAGCCGCAUGGCCUGAAGAGGAAAAGAGGCGCAAGCUUCUGCUGAUGGAUGGAACCGCGGUGCAUUAGCUAGUUGGUGAGGUAACGGCUCACCAAGGCCGUGAUGCAUAGCCGACCUGAGAGGGGGAUCGGCCACAUUGGGACUGAGACACGGCCCAAACUCCUACGGGAGGCAGCAGUAGGGAAUCUUCCGCAAUGGACGAAAGUCUGACGGAGCAACGCCGCGUGAGUGAAGAAGGUUUUCGGAUCGUAAAACUCUGUUGUUAGAGAAGAACAAGUGCUAGAGUAACUGUUAGCGCCUUGACGGUAUCUAACCAGAAAGCCACGGCUAACUACGUGCCAGCAGCCGCCGUAA